UGCGCAGGCGGUUAUGUAAGUCAGAUGUGAAAUCCCCGGGCUUAACCUGGGAAUGGCAUUUGAGACUGCAUGGCUAGAGUGUGUCAGAGGGGGUAGAAUUCCACGUGUAGCAGUGAAAUGCGUAGAGAUGUGGAGGAAUACCGAUGGCGAAGGCAGCCCCCUGGGAUAACACUGACGCUCAUGCACGAAAGCGUGGGGAGCAAACAGGAUUAGAUACCCUGGUAGUCCACGCCCUAAACGAUGUCUACUAGUUGUCGGGACUUAAUUGUCUUGGUAACGCAGCUAACGCGUGGAGUAGACCGCCUGGGGAGUACGGUCGCAAGAUUAAA
RNAcentral lists this ribosomal RNA (329 nucleotides) under uncultured bacterium. RNAcentral's name for it is "bacterial SSU rRNA". It matches the Rfam family "Bacterial small subunit ribosomal RNA", at positions 568 to 898 of the family's 1533-position model. The record is from RNAcentral.